CUCCAGCUACUUCUCUGCUCUCUGCAAGUGCCUUUGCCCACCUCCCUAAACUCUGAGGAGUUCUGAUUGAAUUAGGUUCAGCUGGAUUGAUCUGGUUGUGCCCCAAGGCAAAGGUGAGGCUGGAGUCCAAUGGAGGGACCCAGCUACAGCCCUGUCUCUCCCUGGCUUCCUCCCCGCUGUCCAAGCUGGAUGCUCCGAGCCCAGCGCCCCGCUGCUCACAAGAUAUUGCCUGGAUGAAUGUGGUCAUGUUCCUCAAACUUUCACAAACCUAAGCAGCUCUCUAAGAUGGUCAAGAUGGCUUCUGAGUAGAAGCAGAACUUGUCUUCUCCUCUCCACCAAUUGAGAAAGAGUGCCUCAAAACAACGAAACCCAA
This 373-nucleotide long non-coding RNA is filed under the name Monodelphis domestica (gray short-tailed opossum). RNAcentral describes it as "lncRNA (ENSMODG00000037043.1)". The record is from RNAcentral. Lineage: Eukaryota; Metazoa; Chordata; Mammalia; Didelphimorphia; Didelphidae.